Molecule: long non-coding RNA, 1867 nt
Organism: Panicum virgatum (switchgrass)
Lineage: Eukaryota; Viridiplantae; Streptophyta; Magnoliopsida; Poales; Poaceae
Exons: 2
Source: RefSeq, a predicted model, not a curated record
CCCACCACCAGCUCCAAGCACAUCACGAGCCCUGUCCUGUGUGAUUAUAUAGAUUGCGCAGCACAGAUGAGCGAGAAUGGAGAACUGCUUCAAGCCAAGAACAGCCAUGGCUGGACGACAGAACACCACCGGUGCUUCUGCCUCUGCCAUGGCGGCGGCCCUUCUCCUCCUGCUACUGCCCGUAGGACUCCCGGCGGCGGUGGCUGACCCGAUGCGUGGCGGAGAUGAUGUAAUAUUUAUUCAGAUUUUUUUUGGAAGAUUAGAGAGUUGACCAAAAAAUUGACUUUUUGAAUCAUUGGUGGGAUGAUCAGAGACCAUGGUUGCGUAGAGCUCGUCGAAACGAAUCCGUUUUACUACUCACAUACCAAGUUUGGAUAACGGGUGAAUUGGUGGUGAGCCGAUGAAUCUAGACCAUUGGAUACGCAUUAGGUUUAUGUUUCCUGAUCUUUCUCGCCAUCUCUUGUGCCCGACCCCUACUCCAUCGCCGCCUCCUAUUCCAGCGCCGCUGCUGCCUGCCCAUCCUAUUUCUCCUUGCCGACGCCUCUCCAACGCCGCCGCCCUAGUUUCCAUCCGUGCGGUUGCCCUGCUCCUUGUCAGACAGGGAUGCUGGAUUAAUCCCCUGCUGCAUUCACGCUAGGGUGAGGAGUGCCAGGCAGCCAGCAGCGAGAGGAAAGAGAAACAGGGAGGGGAAAAGAUUUGGGCCUUGCAAGAUCCAUCAAAUUUCUUUACAAAACCUUGAUUUCUGGGUUAAGGUUUGCAGAGUUCUAGAGCCGAAAGCGAUACGCCGGGUUUUCGUCAAGGUUAAGGCAAGUGCAGUGACGAAUCUCUUGUUUUGUGGAUAUGCUUAUUGUCUUCUUGCUACCCCCUUGGGUUAUAUUUUUGGUGGUUUUAUUUCAUAUGUCAGGUUCUUCGAGUUCAUGCUAUAAUUUUUUGGUUCGAUCAAAAGUUCAAGUUGCAUGUGCUUUCUUACAUAUUAUUCAAGUGCCGGGGGUUUGAAUAAACACCGGUUGUGCAAAUUGGUUCUUGUUCAGGUUCCUAUGAAUAAGUGCUGGCCCCAUUUAUUCGGCUUUACCGGUAAAUGCAAAGGAAGUUUCAGGUGACGUCCAUUUUAGACGGAAACUACUAUUUCAUUAUUGUUCCAUUGAUUUUGGUUUUCCACUUUUCUUAUACUUGCGGUCGUUCUUUUGGUUCUGAAUUGUACUUGCUGAGUAUUUUACUCACUCUUGUGCUUGUUUGGUUUUUAGGUACUAAAUGAUUGCGGCAUGCAUGGGAAUGGGGAGUAGCACGGUCUACAGGAGCACAUACAUUCAUUUACACAUGCUUAUUAACUUAGUUGUUUCUUAGAGUAUACAUGGUUAAGCGGGGUUGAUUUAUUCAUUCCACAGUUGAGACGGUCUUAUAGUUGGUCGGGUCAACUUAUUUUACUAUUGGAAUGGGCUGUGAUGCUUACUCAUUAUUCGUAUGCUAUUUGAUACUUUGUUAUAUAAAUUGCUUGUCCAGUACGUCCUAUUUACAGGGGAAAUUUUGUCGAAAUUUUGAAUAAUUUCUAGACGUGUUUCUUUAAUGUUUUUGGUAUCCUCCCAGUUGGUGGAAACAUCUGGGAUGUUACAGAUGAUGUGCAGGAUCCUCAACCCCAACUCCUGCGAGUUUACCCUCCACUGAAGGGCCAUCUUCCUCCCGCGAGAAGAGCAUACGCCGCCUCCUCCAGCCCUGGGGAUGUUUGAGCGCAUCGCUUACUCAGGUUCCCGGCAGGAUCGGAGGACCCUGCCGGCCUUUGUUCGUUUGCCCCCAACCAUGUCACACCAAGGCACGGGCACAGGUGUUCAUCCUCCAUCAUAAUAAGAUCAAUACAUUUUUUGUUCUCGGA